Molecule: long non-coding RNA, 898 nt
Filed under: Dromaius novaehollandiae (emu)
Lineage: Eukaryota; Metazoa; Chordata; Aves; Casuariiformes; Dromaiidae
Description: lncRNA (ENSDNVG00000004020.1)
Source: RNAcentral
GGGUGGGGGAGGACCGGGAAGGAGAGGGCGCCCUGCUCUGCCCUUGGGCUGCGCCUCUGUGAGCCAGAGCACGGGAGAGGCAGGAAUUCCCUCUCCUGCCACCACCAUAAAAUGCGGGAAUGUUUCUGGAUGGCUGCGAGGAGUCCUGCCUGGCCCUCAGGAGUCACCCUUUGUACGGCCCCCCGGCUCAUCACGCUCCCCGCCGGCGCGGGCAGCCCCGACGCACGGGAAUGCCCCUGCGGGGCCGCGCAGCUCCUUAAGUAGCAGCGUGCGGCAGCGGCCCCGGCCCGCGUUCUGCUGUCUUCCCGGGACUCCUGCGGCGGGCGUGACGCCAGCCAUGCCGAAGGCAGCCCCGCUCCUCCUAGCCUUGCUGGCCCCGCUGCUGGCCUUCCCCACCAGAGCACCAGAUUUCACCAGAUCUUAUACAGAGAAAGCAGCAGCAAAGAUAGUUGAUGUCAGCUCUUCUGUGAAAGAAACGACUACAGAAAAGAGGGCUUUCCUGGGUAUCACUGCCUUUAUCAAUGAAGACUUCACCAUAAAGACAACACGUGGAAUGAGCAUCAGUGGAAGCAGAGGCAGGAGUGAAUACAGUGAGCCCAGCAUCAUCUCCACAGAGCAAUAUAUGUUCAACAGAACACCAGUUGAGCACAACAUCAAUAUGAAUGAAAAAUCUGUGACUGGAGGCCCACGUGAGUUCUGUGGGUUUUCUUGGUUUUUUGUUUUUUUUUUUUUCCCCUGUUCUUUUUCUUCCUUCCUCCACAGCAAAAGUCAUGCUCUUCCUUUUAUACAGAAGUUGAGCUUACAUAAACUAUGUACUCUUCAGGAUCUUGACCAAUUCUCUGUUGAUUCUGGGAGAACCCAGACCUUCAUGAUCUGGACACAGUGCUCUGUGGUCUGA